This 253-nucleotide ribosomal RNA is filed under the name uncultured bacterium. RNAcentral describes it as "partial 16S ribosomal RNA". It matches the Rfam family "Bacterial small subunit ribosomal RNA", at positions 524 to 776 of the family's 1533-position model. The record is from RNAcentral.
GACGGAGGAUGCAAGCGUUAUCCGGAAUUAUUGGGCGUAAAGCGUCUGCAGGUGGCCUAUCAAGUCUGCUGUCAAAGACCGGGGCUUAACCCCAGAAAGGCAGUGGAAACUGAAAGGCUAGAGGAUGGUAGGGGCAGAGGGAAUUCCCAGUGUAGCGGUGAAAUGCGUAGAGAUUGGGAAGAACACCGGUGGCGAAAGCGCACUGCUGGGCCAUAACUGACACUCAGGGACGAAAGCUAGGGGAGCGAAUGGG